This 497-nucleotide ribosomal RNA is filed under the name uncultured bacterium. Its description in RNAcentral is "partial 16S ribosomal RNA". It matches the Rfam family "Bacterial small subunit ribosomal RNA", at positions 28 to 507 of the family's 1533-position model. The record is from RNAcentral.
GACGAACGCUGGCGGCGUGCCUAAUACAUGCAGGUUGGGCGCUGAAGGUUGGUACUUGUACCAACUGGAUGAGCAGCGAACGGGUGAGUAACGCGUGGGGAAUCUGCCUUUGAGCGGGGGACAACAUUUGGAAACGAAUGCUAAUACCGCAUAAAAACUUUAAACACAAGUUUUAAGUUUGAAAGAUGCAAUUGCAUCACUCAAAGAUGAUCCCGCGUUGUAUUAGCUAGUUGGUGAGGUAAAGGCUCACCAAGGCGAUGAUACAUAGCCGACCUGAGAGGGUGAUCGGCCACAUUGGGACUGAGACACGGCCCAAACUCCUACGGGAGGCAGCAGUAGGGAAUCUUCGGCAAUGGACGAAAGUCUGACCGAGCAACGCCGCGUGAGUGAAGAAGGUUUUCGGAUCGUAAAACUCUGUUGGUAGAGAAGAACGUUGGUGAGAGUGGAAAGCUCAUCAAGUGACGGUAACUACCCAGAAAGGGACGGCUAACUACGUG